Molecule: long non-coding RNA, 1004 nt
Filed under: Taeniopygia guttata (zebra finch)
Lineage: Eukaryota; Metazoa; Chordata; Aves; Passeriformes; Estrildidae
Description: lncRNA (ENSTGUG00000025304.1)
Source: RNAcentral
UGCCUUUGCUUCACACUCUGAAACACAGUGUAAAGUCCCCUAACACAGUUCCUGGUAAGAGUAAGGAGUAAGAUCUCUGUAGAGAUCUAAUAUUUCCUUUAUUCCAAACCCCUCUACCAUUACUCCAAGGAAAGAAAAUUGCUAACAGUUCUGGGUUUUUUCACAUCUUUCUCUAAUUCAGAAGUGUUCCUUGCCACUGACAAAUUUACUACCUUUUAGUGUCACCUUUAAAUUCCUUUCCCAGCCAUGCUUGUUACAUUGACCAAUGUGAAGCCUGUCACCUUCCUAAAAUGUAAUCAUUGUAGUGGAAGGGUUAUGUGCCACUCCAUUCCUGUCAUCUUUUAUAUUUGCAGUAGGAUUUUUUCUCUUCAUGACACUCAGUGACUGAAAGUGCAAGUUUGGUUUCUGCCAUCUGUGGCAUUAUUGUAUAACUUGUUUGUAUCUUUUCCAAAAUCACAGCAUUGCCUGGCAGAGAGAGACUGAAAAUUAGGCAGAUGCACUUCAUUCCAUUUAGCAUGGUUACUUUCUAUUACUUUGUUCAAAUUUUCCUAAGAGAUAUCAAUAAUAAAAUUAAUGCCUGGCAAAAGCCAGCAUCUAUUUUUUUUAGGGCCACAAGAUGUCAGAUUGAGUUUUCAGCCAUCAACUUCCCUUGUGAUUUUGAAGCAGCUAUACAAGGCUGCUGGUAAUCUCCAAAGUAGGACACUGAAAAAUUAUAUUAUAAAAGCUUCUAGUAAAUUUAGUCUCUUGGAGUGUUAAAGGUCCAGCUCAACAGGGCCAACAAGUCAGCACUCUUACAGGUUUCUCUUAUAAACAUAUCCGAGAAAACUCUCAACAUUGGUUAUUAAAUUAUUUUAUUUUUUGGAUUGGAUCAGCAUCUCUGAGGGGAAAAGGUGCUUCUGUAUGUGGCAUACCUGGGAUACACUCAUCCUAUUAUAACUCCUGCAUUGUAUCUGAUCUUUUGAGGCUCCAACUGCUUAAGAGAAGGGAUCUGAGUCACUUGAAUA